AGGCUCUGCAAUGUCCUCUGGCCUGAUAAAGCAAGUAUGAAGUCAUCCACUUGGAGAGGCUACAUCUUUGGAAUGGGGAUAACAAUUAUAUUCACUUCAGAAGCAUUUCUGUGGAGAUCAAAUGAACUAAUAUGAGGAACUGAGAUAGAAAGAAGAUAACCAAGGAUACAUAUUAUGAGGAGGACAUUCUAAAAUAACUGCCCAUAGAGAUUUCAUGAGGAAGGACCCACUGAGCACCUAGCAGAUUACACAUAGUGUGGAAAAGGCAUGAAGAGAGAGAGGACUUUCAAGCCAGGUCAUACAAGAAACAAAGCUGGGGACCUGAUCUGCAAAAUCAAGAAGAUUCCAAACAGAAUGUUCCCAGGGGGAGGCAGUUGAAGCUGACCAGGGGGAGAGGAACUGAUUCUCUUUCUCUCUCUCUCUCUCUCUCUCUCUCUCUCUCUCUCUCUCUCUCUCUCUCUCUCUCUCUCUCAACCUCAGCUCUGUUUUUUCUGACCAAGGGAGGCAAACCUGGCUGUAUGGAGAAGAAGCUGAACUGAUCUUGCUAGCUUUUAUCCCAGGCUGAAGGACCCUUAAGGGGGGCUUCUAGAGUUAAGCUGAGAGACCUUGAUGGUUUUGUGAAUUGAAAGAAGGAAAGAAGAUUUAAACAGUUGUCCUCCAUCUUUCUGGAUGUCUUAGAGUCACAGCUGUGACUGGAAUGACUUCCCAAACCCUCAAAUUCUCCUUAUAGAUUAGGGAAACCCUGAUCCCUCUCACCUCAGUUCUCUAUCCUGUUGUUUCCCAAUAAACCCCUUACCUGAGGAAAAAAAACA
This 812-nucleotide long non-coding RNA is filed under the name Monodelphis domestica (gray short-tailed opossum). RNAcentral describes it as "lncRNA (ENSMODG00000031349.2)". Lineage: Eukaryota; Metazoa; Chordata; Mammalia; Didelphimorphia; Didelphidae. The record is from RNAcentral.